CCUCUCUGAGUUUCCCUGGCAUGUACAAUGCACAAUGGGCUGUAGUGCUCUGACAAUAUCCUUCAAUAUCCUUUCCACACCACAGAGAAGCAUUACCUGUUGUUGAGCCAGGUGUCAAAAUGUCAGUAGCCAAUACAGAUAACCACUGUCAUUCCCACUGCUGAUGGGGAGUUGUCAUAGAGGUGCUGCCAACCAGACUUGCAGAGGAAGUUUGCUGCAAUUUUGAGAUCCCCAGUCUCUUGGCUGGUAGCUUAAUGCUCAGACCAUCCUGUUCAGAAUUUUAUCUUGCAGUGUUAAGGAGUUCAAAUAAAGCCUGCUGCAAUUAUGUUAGCAGUGUAUUUUGGCAAAGGAAAUCUUCCAACAUGAAGCACAGUUUAAUACGCGUAAGAUUAAAAAUCUUUCUAAAAUACUGAAGAACUAUAAAAAUGAGGGGAAAAAAAUCAAAAACUCAACAAGAAAGUAAGAGCUGCACUUUUUUUGUUCAAGGACAAGUUUUACUAACCACAUGCAUGGUGGGGAAAACCUAGCCCCUUUUCUCUUGAACUACUGUGGGCCACACGCCACAGGAGGAGGUGUACCUGUAUUAGGGAAGAUGUGCACAGGUGGUGUGCAGCUUCAUCCCACAGUGUGCAGAAGGAGGGGAAAGAUCAUUCUCUCCUAGCUCUCUUGUGCUGCUGUAUGGCACAGAGCAACUCUAGUCACCUAGAAAGGGAAGUCUUUUCCAAUUAAUAAUCUACCCUGAAGCUGCCAUGCCCACGCAAAUCAUGUAUGCUUGAACUUUUCCUGAAGACCAGCAGGGCAAACACUUCUCUGCCACCCUCCAAGGGCUCUGCUUGCAUGCUGCUGGGAGCUUUGCACUUGCUCUUUAUAGAAGCACUGGAAGGUAGCAAGGUCCCGGGGGAAAGACAAGGACCAAGCAGCUCUUGUCUGGCAACAAGAAGGGUACCACGAAGGAGAGACUCCGAUGACAGCUUGACGGAGCCGGGCGAGGGGCAGCGCUCGGCCGAGCCCACCGGGGCCCGCUGCGGGGAGCGGCAACCAGUCGGCCAGGUGGGCGACCGGGGCGGCCGGGCAAACUGCGGCAGGGAGGGGAGCCGAGCCGAACCGAGCCGCUGCCCUGCCUCCUGCGCCGGGGGCCGCGCUGGCGGGGCGGGCGCGCCCCUCCCCGGGCCCGCGGAGCCACCGCCCCCGCGGGGCAGCGCGCACCGGCGGCCGCGGGGCUCCUGCCGAGCCUGCAGGUGGGGGCUGCAGCCUGCAGGUAGGGGCUGCAGCCUGCAGGUAGGGCGUGCGGGGCUGCGGGGCCCGGGAGCAGCGAGCAGGGACAGAGGGGUGGCCGGAGCGGGGCGCGGAGCGGGGCGGGCAGCGCGGCUCCCCGGCGGUGAGGCUGCAGCCGGGUCGCUUUCCUGCCCUGCCUUGCUCGUGGUAGAACUGCGGAAACAUUGAAAAAAUCAAUAAAAAUGAAUGUAAACGCCACUGUUUAAUGAAGGAACUGUAUAUACGUGCAUACGUAGGUAUAAGUUGUUGGUCUGGUGAGAUGUUAGUCAGGUAAACAGCGCUUAAGGAUAAACAGCGGUUCAAGUUGCUAGAUGGUAUGAGGAAACUCAGGUAUCUUUUAUUCCUGUUGCAUAAGCAGAACGAAUGUACCUGUUUCAGAAGCAGGUGUGAGAGGCAGUGCUGCACCUUGCCGUCGUCCCCGUGUGUGCGGACCCGCGGCUGUCGCCGGGAUGCCCGUGCACGGGGGUGUGUGAGUGUGCCUCUGUGAGUGUGUGCCUCUGUGAGUGUGUCUGUGUGUGUGUGUGCCUCUGUGAGUGUGUCUGUGUGUGUGUGUGCCUCUGUGAGUGUCUGUGUGUGUGUGUGCCUCUGUGUGUGCCUCUGUGUGUGUGUCUGUGUGUGUCUGUGUGUGUGUGCCUCUGUGAGUGUGUGCCUCUGUGAGUGUGUCUGUGUGUGUGUGUGCCUCUGUGAGUGUGUCUGUGUGUGUGUGCCUCUGUGUGUGCCUCUGUGUGUGUGUCUGUGUGUGAGUGUGCCUCUGUGUGUGUGUCUGUGUGUGACUGUGCCUCUGUGUGUGUGUCUGUGUGUGUCUGUGUGUGAGUGUGCCUCUGUGUGUGCCUCUGUGUGUGUGUCUGUGUGUGUCUGUGUGUGAGUGUGCCUCUGUGUGUGUGUCUGUGUGUGACUGUGCCUCUGUGUGUGUGUCUGUGUGUGUGUCUGUGUGUGAGUGUGUCUGUGAGUGUGAAUGUGCCUCUGUGUGUGUGUCUGUGUGUGUGUGUCUGUGUGUGAAUGUGCCUCUGUGUGUGCCUCUCUGUGUGUGUCUGUGUGUGUGUGUGUCUGUGAGUGUGAAUGUGCCUCUGUGUGUGUGUGUGCCUCUGUGUGUGUGUGAGAGUGUGUGUGAGCGGCUGGCUCCCCAAAAGCUCCAAAACCCAAGGCGCAGGCUGCUCAGAUGGGCUGGAGAGCUGGCCUGUGGCCUUCCACAGGGAUAGUUAACUAAUCAAAGCAAUCCUUAUCCUGAACAGCCUUGAUAUUUCUUCUGGGAUAUUAACCCAAUUGAUUUCCAGGAGAAUUCUUACUCCCUUGUAGGACAACCAGGUGUGCAAUAGACUCGGGCCAAGUGGCACAUCUUGUAGGAAAUUGUGUGCUCACAGGCUGACUAAAUUCAGGGAAUCUAUUCAAUGAAAAAAAAAAAAGCCAGAAAAUACAGUGAGUAUUAUCCUUAUUUUGAACUUUCUGAUAAUUUGCCACUCAUUUAUCAACCUAUUCUGUUUAAUACCUCUACAGGUAAGCUGUUAAAUUGGUAUUUGGGAUGAAUUUAGGAUUGUGUGAUAGCAUUCUGACUAAAUUGGUUUCAUUAAGUUAACAAGCUGGUUGGGACAGCUGACUCUGUUGUUGUAGGUCUGCUCCUACAGUGGCAAUGAGGAAACGUUUCCGUUAGUGCUGGGAAAUUGGAGGAUAACAUGAAACUUAAUGAAGUGAAACAGAAUUGCAGUUUCCUCAGAGUGAUUCUAUUAUGCCUCAGUUAGGGCUGUGUUAUUGCUCACCUCAAAUCAUUAGCUGUUACUGUCUUUUUGUAUUUUUUUUUUAGUGCUGCAUAGCACAUACUGUGUUCUUGUUUUAUAUUUUUUCAGUUGCAUUAUAUUUAAUGUUUACUUUUCCAUCUUUUGCAGCAGUGUAACUGAAGCUAUGUUUUAACAGAAGGUUUCUCUGGGCUUCCCUAAGGGGGUUUCUACAUUAAUGCCUUUAAAAUUCAAUCAUUAACUACUGCCUUAACCUGAAGCUGGAAAGUGAUGAUGAAAAAUAAUAUGGCACAGUGUGUAAUUUAAUUUUACAAAGCUUUAUCAGAAUUGAUUCAGCUGAUAUGUAAACAGGGGAAACCUCGGGAACUUUCUUUUCGCCCUAGCUUGCACAUUGACUUCAGCUUCAAGCUGUGCACCGUUUACCUGACAGCUGCAUUGCUACAGCACUGACUGAUCGGAUCUGCUGAGUUGGUUCUUGUCUGCAGCUGUGAGGAAGGGGACCAGGACACCCCCAGGGAUCCCUUCCGGAUCCAUAUUCCCAGGCCAAGGUCCAACAGACUGGGCACAGGGGGGGAAGAUUUUUCAGAUGUUUUGGUGCAAACACAAUUGCUUCCUGAGGGAGAGAUUUGGCAUGUGUUUCCUGAGUGAACUGUGCUUGCGUAAGCAGCCCCCUGCCACCCUCUGAGCUGGACUAGCACAGCCAUUUGUGGGGCUCAUGGGGAACUGCAUCGGGGAACUGCAGUGGGUUCAAAAGCGCCUUUUCUUCUUUUUUAUUGAUUACUUUUAACUCUGAUCUGUCUGACUGUGGGGUUGCUGUGUCAGGGUUGAGAAGGUGGCCUGAAAGGAGGGAACAUGUGGCAGGGAGUAGGAGGUAAGGGCUGUUUCUGCUGGCAUCACUGCUGCUGAAAGAAGUAAUUGCUUAUCAAGCUGUGGUCAGAGGUGGAUGACAUGUGGUUAUGGCAGUUGCCUGAAAAAUGUAGCUGAAUGCUCAGAUAUCUUAUUGCAGUUAGUUAGCUGUAUACACGAAGAUAUGAUGCUCUGUUUCUGUUGUAACUCUGAGUUUGCACUUAAUGAUUUUACUUUCGUGAUGUAUAACUAUGUGUACAACUUCAGGAUACGUUCCCUACACUAUUCUCUCUUGGAGUAUGAGCAUUUUAAAAGACCAUUUUUCUGGAAAAUAGACCUAGGCAUCAUAAGAAUAUGAGUUUUAUUAAUCAGAUUAUAUUUAGCUGGAUAGGUGAAUGCCUAAAAUUCUAAACAGGAAGAUUAAACCACCCCUAAGAGGGUGCCUCUAAUCCUAGAGACCAUAACUGUGACAUGCAUGCACUUGACUCUCUUUUACAUGUACAUAAAAUGUUAACUAUACUUUUGAAUGUAGUGUAGACCUGCUGUUAAAUUAUGAAUGACAGAAGCAAUUUGACAAGUAGCACUGUUUUAGUUAGUAUGGUGAGACUAAGAAGUCAGUUCAAUGUAAACUUUUCAUAAUCUGCUACAGUUUAUUUUAUUCUGGAAAGCAUUGAUGCUUUUGUGCAUUGUUUUAGGACUUGUUCUCAUUCUCACUUUAGACACUUUGUUUCUCUAUCAUGAUCCUAUUGUAACUAGUAAAAAAACACUCAGAGCAUAUUGUCCUUUUAGCACAAGUGCAUAUUUAGAGAAUGAUGGUACUCAUUCUUGUUCACAGAACUUGAAGGUGAAAUUAUGUGCUAUUGCUCUCUUUAUUCAACAGAGAAAAAUCCCUUCUUCCUUCCAACCUAAAACAAGAAACUUCACAGGAUUGAAGAAAAGUUUCUUACCUUUACUGUCCUGUGGUGGGUCACUACAUCUGUGGUUUGGAUUAUCUUUGUAGAGUCUCAUGUAGAUUUUAAAAAGCAGAUUAAAAAAACCCUAAAAUUUUAAUUUUUUCCAUUUUUUUUCCUAAGAGGAAAGGGUUUUCUUUGCAGCAGCCUUAUGAGAGCAAAAUACAUAUUUUAUGAGCUAUAUUGUUGUGUGUGUUAAUUGACACACAUUGAUGUGACUGUGAGUAGUAAAACUGCAAGUUACAUCUUGCCUGCAGGAAGUGGGCUCCCAGCCUGUGGGAUGGAGAAAUUUGGAAAGGUGUCAUUUUUAAAAACCAAAACUGUAGCUGUCCAAACUAAUUACUCUGUUUUUCUUCACUGGAAAUGAAGGUGCUUCCUACUGAGCUUAUUGAACUGAUGGUUUUGUUUUCCUCUCUGGAAGUGUUCUGCACUUGCAGUGGAGUGGAAGAGCUGUUGCCAAUGGGGCUGUACACUGAGUUGGCUGCUCUGGGUGAACAUACAUACCCAGGUGAAGACUCUCUUUUCCUGGAUUGGCUCCCUGUUCCUCCUCAGCUUGUAGGAUGCUGGGUAUAACUACAUACAGGGAAAGCUGUGAUUUUCUAAGUAUGAAAUCUUCGGUGUUCAGGUUCCUCAUCCUCCUGUUUUUGGAAGAAGCAUUUUUCAGUACCAGAGGGUGGGUGCUGCUCAGGUGACACCUGUCUGGCAUGGUCACAGACACCAUGGCAGGACAGAGGAGCCCACAGAUUCAGGUGUAGCCAGGAGGCACUUAUCUUUCCUUACACCGAAAGAUCAAAAUCCAUCACUUUUGUCUCCACAGCGUUUUAAGCUGUGCAAGCCCCUGAGGCAGCAGAUCAUCUCCUCAGCAGCAAGAUGAGCUAUUCAGUGGUAAGAUUAGCCAGCAAUUUGUGGCAAAUUUCUUCCCCAGAGCCUGCAGCAGCUGGGAAUUGUAGAACUGGCUUGAGGGCGUGCAGCAAUGUAUUUUGUCAGUGAGUUAGGAUAAGUUUAGUCUUCAUUAGUAAAACUCUAUCGGUUACUUUGCAUACAAUACAAAUGCUACUGAAUAGUCAUUUCUCAGCUGCAGUUCAAUGUUGGAGAACUACAAGUUAUCCACAAACCAGGAUAAUCUUGCUGCUUUUACUUGACUUAAAAAAAAAUGAACAGCAUUUUUUGUUCUUAUUUCAUUUCUGUGUCAUAUUUAUAGUUUUUGCUUGUUCUGUUUGAUGAGAUAAUGAAGUGAGAAGGCAGUAAAUGAAUCUUUAGUAUUUACUUUUAGACAACAUUACUGGUUUUCACUGAAAAACUGUUGGUUUCUUUUUCCUUUUUUGGUGUUUUAUUGUAAGAU
This is a long non-coding RNA of Corvus moneduloides (New Caledonian crow), 6143 nucleotides long. The record is from Ensembl. NCBI's taxonomy places the organism in Eukaryota, Metazoa, Chordata, Aves, Passeriformes, Corvidae.